CCUACGGGAGGCAGCAGUGGGGAAUAUUGCACAAUGGGGGAAACCCUGAUGCAGCGACGCCGCGUGAAGGAAGAAGUAUCUCGGUAUGUAAACUUCUAUCAGCAGGGAAGAAAAUGACGGUACCUGACUAAGAAGCCCCGGCUAACUACGUGCCAGCAGCCGCGGUAAUACGUAGGGGGCGAGCGUUAUCCGGAUUCAUUGGGCGUAAAGCGCGCGUAGGCGGCCCGGCAGGCCGGGGGUCGAAGCGGGGGGCUCAACCCCCCGAAGCCCCCGGAACCUCCGCGGCUUGGGUCCGGUAGGGGAGGGUGGAACACCCGGUGUAGCGGUGGAAUGCGCAGAUAUCGGGUGGAACACCGGUGGCGAAGGCGGCCCUCUGGGCCGAGACCGACGCUGAGGCGCGAAAGCUGGGGGAGCGAACAGGAUU
This 424-nucleotide ribosomal RNA is filed under the name uncultured Desulfovibrio sp. RNAcentral's name for it is "partial 16S ribosomal RNA". It matches the Rfam family "Bacterial small subunit ribosomal RNA", at positions 338 to 779 of the family's 1533-position model. The record is from RNAcentral. Lineage: Bacteria; Pseudomonadati; Thermodesulfobacteriota; Desulfovibrionia; Desulfovibrionales; Desulfovibrionaceae.